RNAcentral lists this non-coding RNA (22 nucleotides) under Arabidopsis thaliana (thale cress). Lineage: Eukaryota; Viridiplantae; Streptophyta; Magnoliopsida; Brassicales; Brassicaceae. The record is from RNAcentral.
UAAGGAACACAGUUUUUGCCAC